This is a non-coding RNA of Procambarus clarkii (red swamp crayfish), 307 nucleotides long. The record is from RefSeq and is a predicted model, not a curated record. Lineage: Eukaryota; Metazoa; Arthropoda; Malacostraca; Decapoda; Cambaridae.
AGGUGAUCUUAAUGUUCUCAAUAGGAAGUUAGCGGAAUCGAGUUUCAGAACAAAAUUUGUGUUGCUUUUAACCAGUGUACGUGGGUCUGAUUGUGCAACUACGGUUCGAAGAAUGAUGAAGAAGAUAGGAACAAACGGCCUUUGGUCAUUAUACAGCCUAAAAGGACAAAAGAAGAAAUUAGCAUUUCUAGAAAAACAAGAACUAUAUAAUGUUAUUUUAAAAUCAUCUAUCAACGCACAUCCGCAAGUUAAGGUGGAAGACGUGACCUUUCAAAUUUCUGAAGUACUUAAACAUGCUCCAAACAGG